Zingiber officinale is the source of this 1562-nucleotide long non-coding RNA. RefSeq lists it as uncharacterized. The transcript has 3 exons. NCBI's taxonomy places the organism in Eukaryota, Viridiplantae, Streptophyta, Magnoliopsida, Zingiberales, Zingiberaceae. The record is from RefSeq and is a predicted model, not a curated record.
UUUCCUUCCCUCUCCUUAAAUUUUUAUGCCAAAAUCAUUGUCCUUGUAAUGUCUUCCCUUCUCGAUCUCUUCACGCUAUGGAAACCCUAAGCAUCUCCGUCCCCCGCGGCUACUUCUCAUUGAACAUUCCACAGCCACUCCCCUGCGACAACUCUGUCGGAGGAUGCCGCACCUCUAGCUUUGUCGCCUCUGUGGAAUCUGGUGGAGUCAACAUAUGAGAGGUCUGUCUCUUCCACAACGUGUUCAAUGGAGAUGCUCUCUCGGCCGGAGAAGGAGAAGGGAUCCUCUCAACAUAGAUCCAUCUCGUCUGCAUUUGAAUCUGGGUAUCAGUUAGGGGAGGCGCUAUCCCCAGCGGAUGUGAAGCAGAUCAAUGCAUUUCUUAGUGGGUAGAGGAAAAUGAUUGGGAGGAUCUCUCAUGGAGAAGUCCUAUCCAAGACCAAGAUCAUCCUCUCCAGAUCGUCAAAUGAUUUAUGUACGAUGAGUGCGAUGGUGGCGACUAUAUGUUAUGCAUGGUUACUGCAGAAUAGAGAGGAGGAAGAUGUGGUUGUGAUGUCAGUGGUGAACAUUGAGAGAGGGAGGAUGAACAAGCAUGAAGAAGUUACUUGACUUUUUUUCCAUGUUGGCAUUGAUAUUUCGACACUGCUCUUUACCGACGAGGCAACUCUCAUCAAGUUUUACUUUCUAGAUCUACUCUUUCUUUACAACAUUACAUGUGUGCUUGAGUGCUUCCAAAUAUCGCAUAUCAUGUCUGUUGGUGCCAAUCUUCAUUUCGUAGCCUCCAUGGCUGCAUGAUGCAUAAGGUCGAUAUCUGCUUUGUGAUCAACACUAAAGUGAUAUGCUUGAGGCCUCACUACUCUUUUGUAUGCUUGUAUUUGCAGCGACAGUCAAAGUUUUUGAUUCAUGAUAUUCACUAUUAUACCUUUAUAUCCAAAGAAAAUUACAUUAAUAUCUUAUGCUAAGGAUGUUUAAUGUAAUUUAAACUUUUGUAAUUUAUUGUUGGUAAUCAUUCGUGUUCAUUUCUCAUGACUAUUUACUUGUUUCAUGUGUUGGUAAUCUUGUGAUGAACAAACAAUUAAGUAUGCUUGUUAUUGGACAAGGUGUGCUUAAAACUAAGAAUGAGGUGAUCGAUCAGUAUUUGAAAAUUUGAGAACAGAACCAUUUGUUUAUAAAAUUCUCAUACAUUCUCUCUUGCAUAGGUGGGUUCACUGUGCACAAUUCUCACAAAUAAUUACUGUGAAGAAACCCAUGAUCUAUUUCAGAAUCCUAAGUUGAAAAAUCUAUUGCUUGCAGGUAUUCUCUUGGAUACACAUAAUCUUAAUGUCACAUCUUCUUUUGUUACAAGGAGAGAUGCCGAGGCAAUAUUAUUGCUUUCAGUUGGUUCUUCUCCCGACUACAAAUAUGAAUUGUUUGAGCAAUCUUGAAUUAUGGUGUCAUUGUUUGUUUCUUCCUUAAAAUUGUCCCCUGAAAGUUUAAUUUUUGUUUACUUUUGUUGGAUGUUUUCUUCAGGCUUACUACUUCUCCAAGCUAAAUUAGUCUGAACAUGUUUUAAUCUCAAAUAUUAA